Long non-coding RNA from Pseudopipra pipra, 650 nucleotides. RefSeq lists it as uncharacterized. The transcript has 2 exons. Lineage: Eukaryota; Metazoa; Chordata; Aves; Passeriformes; Pipridae. The record is from RefSeq and is a predicted model, not a curated record.
UCACAAAGAAAGAUGAGAUGAGGGACUAUUCGUGGUUUCUGCUGAACACUAAUUAUUGUAUUGCUCUCCUGAACUUGGCAUGUGACUCAGCACCUAAUUCCAGUUCCUAACGUUCUAUAAAGAUUAGUGACUUAGAUGUUAUUGCUUUGCAGGUUUCUGAUUUGGCAUAUUUUUGAUACCAGAAGAAAAUGACCUCUGAAUUCUGCUUCAGUCAGCCUUGCUGUCUCACUAGAGAUCUACACCAGCUACACCCUUACAUGCUUUUCAAUCCAUACUGAUAUUCUUUCAGAUGAGAUAACUUGACCUUUAGGAAACCCUUCUACAGCUGAAUGUGCAAGAAGUGACAGCCUGAAAUGCUCUACUGAUGGAGCAAUUGCCCAGAGAGUACAGACUUGGUUGAGCUUCCUUAUCAUUAGAGUGUUCACUUUCAAAUCACCUACCUGUCUGUUGAGUAUGCCAAGCACGAGGCUUCGAGAAUGAUAAGAAAGGGAUGUAGAAGUACAAACACACAUGCCACUCACCCUCUCUUGUUCCUGUUUGUUUGGGUUUUCUUUUUUUUUUUUUUACCUUAUAUCAACAAAGUCAGAAUUCAUCAGUCCAGAGAGUGAAAAACAUGGGCACAUAAAUAACACACACCACAUUUUAGUGCA